GCAUAGCUACAACCACUCGGAACAGGUUGAAGUACGUGUCGGACAAGAGCCGACCCGCCUGGAAUGGUGAGUCUAAGUAUAAGG
This 84-nucleotide small RNA is filed under the name Leuconostoc gasicomitatum. Lineage: Bacteria; Bacillati; Bacillota; Bacilli; Lactobacillales; Lactobacillaceae. The record is from RNAcentral.